AGAAGUAUAAAUACCAACUAUACAUUGAGUAGAUACAGGGCCUCUGUCUACCAUGUAUAGAGAUCAUGUGUAUGUGUGUAUAUCUGUGCAUGGUAUAACACAUACUAUGUGUACAUGUAUGUAUCUUGCAGGAUCGUAGCGCUUUAACUGGAAACGGUUAAGGUUAGCUACACGCCUGCAUAUAAUUUACAGAAAGUAUGUACCUUGCCUAUGACUGGAAACAGUUAUAUCGUAAUCUACAUAUUAGUAUGGAUAUUAUAUUGUUCCUUGCGUGUUAUGUGGUAAAACACAUAUCAUUGCCGGUCAGAGAUAUAUAUGUAUGUUACAUAGUAUGGUUUAUCAAUUUUUGUACUUAGUUUUACACACAUUUCCCAUGAUCUAGAUAUUCUAUUCCUUUUCGUGGAAGUAUGUAUAUACAACCUCGUAAGGAGAUGCAUCAAUGAUGUGAUAUCUUGAUAUCUGUAUGCUACUACAGCUAGUAAGCGGCAGAGCAGCAGUUGAUCUGACUGUCAAGCAAAUCACUGGCAGGGACCCUGAGAGAACCCGUCAAUCUGCCGACGUUAAAGUCGUACAGCAGAUUAGUAAGACGCGACAUGACCUGUCGAAAAGGUUCGUCUCCUUGAAAGGGGUCUCGUUUGCACUCUAAGGUGAUUUGUCAUCUGUUAGCGAUGCUUCUGUAUUGCAGACACAGACAAGUAUUACGGGGCAAUCAUUGAUUAGCAAAUAUGUUUGAGUCUCUUGACUGUGUAUUAUGUGAACACACACACACACCAAGUGUACUCUUUCCAUAUACCUCAUAAUUUUG
This 805-nucleotide ribosomal RNA is filed under the name Mononychellus progresivus (cassava green mite). RNAcentral's name for it is "partial ribosomal RNA". Lineage: Eukaryota; Metazoa; Arthropoda; Arachnida; Trombidiformes; Tetranychidae. The record is from RNAcentral.